GUUUGGUUUUCUUUGGCAGAGCAGAGGGAGGUUACCAUGGAGUUACCUAUGGAUGGGAGCGCAGGAAACCCAGAGCGCUCCGAGAGGAGGCUGGGGAGCAGCAAGGUGACGGCAUCUGCGUGCCGUGCAUCGCCUGGGAAGGCACCCAGAAUAAAAAACAGUGACCGAGGAGAAGGCUGAGGGGCUGCAGGGAGUUCCCCAGGGGCUGUGCCGCCCGCGGGGGAGGGCAGAGGGCAGGGAAGGGGGACGCGGUGUGCCCGGCACCGUGGGGCACGGGGCGAGGCUGCCCUCGGGGAUCUCCGCCGGCGGGGGGGGGGGCGCAGCCCGACAACCCCGGGGCUCCCCGGGACGCCCCCCCCGGUGCUCAGCCGUCGGGGCAGCGGCCCCGGCGGGGGGGGAGCGGUCCCGGCGGGGCUCCGCGCCCCCGCCCCCGGCUCCGCCCCGCUCCGCGCCGCCGCCGCUCGCCCCGCAGAGCCGCGCACAGCGCCCGGUGCCGCCGCCGCACCUGGCAGCCGCCCGGCACCGGCACCGGGACCGGCUCCGGGACCGCCGCCGCCGGCCGGAGGGAGCGGGGAGCCCCGGCGGCUAUGGCGGGCCGGGGGCGGCCGGUGCCGGCUGCGCGCUGAGCCGGGGCUGCUCGGCCGCUGCUGCCGGCGGGCUGGGCGCUGCGGCAACCGGGCACCGGGCGGCGGCCAGGAGCCAUGGGGGGGGCGGCGGCGGCGGCGGCGGCCAGCGGGGACCCGGCCCUGCCCGCCCGCCGCGCCGCCCGCCUCAGGCCCCGCUGGUAACGGAGGGAGAGCGGCCGGAGCCCAGCCCUGUGGUACCUGGAGGACGCUUUUGCUCGCUGGCACCGAGGGACAAAGCCUCGAGCUCUCAGCUCUGCCUCGUGCUCGCAGCGCGCCGCCAACACCGGUCCUUCCCCACGCCCGCGGCAAUCGGCAGCAGAGCGCUCCGGAUUCGGACCUGUGAGUGAAGUGUUGUUCGCCAGGGCAGCUCCAACCCACGGGCGCCGCGUUUCUGUGGUGAACAAGCGUUUUUGUCAGAACAAAGUAGGUUGCUGCCUUGCAGAACCUCCAGCCUGCGUGGAGCAGGGCGCGGGGCCCUGGGGCGCAGCAGCUGGCUGUGGGGACGGGGAGGGGGUCUGGGAAUGAAGAGGGGUGCUGGGACACCCCAGGAGGAGCUCGUGCGGGUGGUGGCUCGGAGCCUGCAGCAGCAGGAGUGCAGGAGAGCUGCAGGAUUGGUGCCCAGCGAGGCUGGGAACAUUUCUGAGCUGCUCGCUGUUCUCUGUCUCUUUUAAAUUAAUCAGGAGCUGGCCUCAGCAGCCAGUCAAUAGCGAGAUUUAUCUCUUAAAUAGCAUUAUUGAUUGCUUGGGGAGCCUGGUUUUGUAUUGAUAGAUAUGUACACGUGCAGACAAGCCCCGUGCCAGCUCCUGGUGGGGAAAGGCACGGAGCGGGCUGCGCGAGGCUGCUCCUUACAGGUGGGGUCACACGUGUGCCCGCCCGAUGGAGACACAGCUCCCUGCCAGAGAGCACAGUGGGGUCCCCAGGGGUCUUUGGGUACAAACCCUUCCGCAUCCAUCCACCGUCUUGCCCAGUCUUGAGCCUUUUUCCUGCUCUCCCCGUGCUGUCUCCCUCCCUAUGAAGGGGUCUUCCCACAACUUGCACGGAGUCCUGAAAGGUCCCUGACCCUGGAGGGGUCUCUGUGUGGGGACACUGGGGUAGACGUGCAAAGCUAAGCCUGUGCUGGAGCAUCGCCCAGAGGGGCCAGUUAGAGGAAGAUAAGCAAGGUGGGGUGCACCUGACCCCCAGAGAGGGGUCAAUUUGGGCUGCUCCCAGGGCCCUCGGCUGGGGCUGUGAGCCGACGCGUGCAGGAAGCGCCGUGGGACCUGGCUGGGCUCCGAGCAGGUGGAGCCGUGGGAGUAUCACGGGGAGACAGCUCGCUGCCCAUCUGCUGCUGGGAAGGCAAAGCGUGCCGGUGCUCCUGAGCCUCCAGGUAACGGGAACCGGGCUGUGGGGGCUUCACCGGUGGCAUCUCCCUGGGCUUCCCUGUGCCUCUUGUCCCUGGGAGGUGGCAGAGCGCUUCCAGCCGCAGAGCGGUGGCACUGCCUCCGGGUCCCAUUGCCUGGCUGCCUGCACCGGGUGCUGUUGCUGUGCCACAGGAGAAGGGGCAGGAGCAGGGGAUGCAGAACCGGGUUGCCCCCAGCUGGGCUUGGUGUUGGGAGGGACUGGCUGCAGGCAGUCCCACCAUGUGGGGGUGGUUUGGGUGCUCCUGGCCCCGGAUGCGCCCCUACGGCCCCACCUGAGAGCCCCACUUCUCUGGUUCAAGCAGCCGGGGUGGGUCUGGGACCUCGGCAUCUCCUGCUCCUGGCAGUGUGGCUGCAGCACCUGGGGGAGGAUGGUGCUGGCAGGAGCAGGGCCAGGGGCCAUCUCGUGGCCCAAGCUGUUGUCCUUUUAGCUCCGGGCAGCGCCUCAAGGCUCACCCCAAAGCAGCACCGUGUGCUCGGGCAGCGCUGCUGUCCUCCAGGGUCGUGGAGCACAGCCAAGGUGCAGUGCUGCUCGUGAGACGAAUUGCAAAAGCUCUCGCCAGUUUUGCCGGAGCAAACUUCACGCUGUGGCCGUUUUGCCUUGGUGCUGCAGAGCCUGCUGCCGAGCCCUGCCCGCUGCCAGCCUGGCUGCCCUCAGCACCUGUGCGCCACCGUGCACGGGGCUCCUGGCCCCAAACCUCGCGCCCAGCCUCGCAGUGGCAGCAGAGGCUGGGACGAGCAUCAGCUGAGCUGCCACGGGGGAUCUGUAGGGGUCGGAUCACCAACGGCUUGGGUCUGGGAAAAGCUGCGUGUGCUUGUCACUGUUUAAUUAAUCAGCAGCCAUGGGAAGUUCUUGGGUGCUGCCGUGCCUUUGUGCAUGUGUGUAUUUCCAUACAUAUACGUAGCACCAUGGCAUCUCGGUAACGCUUGGACCCCUUCAGCGUUUUUCCAGACAAUGUCUGCCCGCAGCGAGCGCCCAGUCCACCUGAUCUCGGCAAGCCAAUCUACGCAGGGAUCUUGGGGAAGAACAGUUGGGGUUUUAUGAAGCUGGCAUAAUUUACAGCUAAAAUAGCACACCAGAAAUAUGUCCAAUCCAAUCUCCUUUGUAAUCUUGUUUUCAUUUAAGCCUGCAGGCUGAUGGAGGGGGGGAGGCAGGGAAGCAAACUGCGAAGGGAGUUUAUUACCCGUGUCAGGGAGAUUUGCGCGGUGCUCCGUCCGGAGCGACCUCAAUUUGCAGGGGUUGCGGCUGGCUGGGGGGCUCCCGGCCCCGAGGGGCUUCUCCUGCCCGGGCUGGGGCCGCAGCCCCUGCUGCGGGGGGCUCGAGGCGCGCGCCGUGGAGCAGCUCCAGCGCCUGCUCCCGCAGCUGGGCAGGCAGAGCUAUUGCAAUGUCUCGGCGAGCACUGCGCUCGUGAUGUCCUGGCCAGCUCACCGUGAAAAGGAAUGAAAUUAUCUCGCUGCUGCUGCCUUUGCGGGUUGCGUUUCUCUUUAGUUUUCAAACCACAGAUUGUCCCAGAUCUCCUGCCAAUAGCAGGGAGCUAACUGAUAAUGCAGCUGCUAUUAAUAAAGCGGUGUUGUUACAUAUUCAUAUCAAUCAGACUUCUAAUUCCAC
Molecule: long non-coding RNA, 3632 nt
Filed under: Cairina moschata (Muscovy duck)
Lineage: Eukaryota; Metazoa; Chordata; Aves; Anseriformes; Anatidae
Description: domestica (muscovy Duck (domestic type)) lncRNA (ENSCMMG00000017004.1)
Source: RNAcentral